AUCUUGCGCAAUGGGCGAAAGCCUGACGCAGCGACGCCGCGUGCGGGAUGACGGCCUUCGGGUUGUAAACCGCUUUCAGCAGGGACGAGGCCGCAAGGUGACGGUACCUGCAGAAGAAGCCCCGGCUAACUACGUGCCAGCAGCCGCGGUAAUACGUAGGGGGCGAGCGUUAUCCGGAUUCAUUGGGCGUAAAGCGCGCGUAGGCGGCCAGUUAGGUCGGGAGUCAAAUUUCGGGGCUCAACCCCGUCUCGCUCCCGAUACCGGCUGGCUUGAGUGUGGUAGGGGAAGGCGGAAUUCCCGGUGUAGCGGUGGAAUGCGCAGAUAUCGGGAAGAACACCGGUGGCGAAGGCGGCCUUCUGGGCCAUCACUGACGCUGAGGCGCGAAAGCUAGGGGAGCAAACAGG
This 404-nucleotide ribosomal RNA is filed under the name uncultured bacterium. RNAcentral describes it as "bacterial SSU rRNA". It matches the Rfam family "Bacterial small subunit ribosomal RNA", at positions 361 to 776 of the family's 1533-position model. The record is from RNAcentral.